GAGGGUGUAGCUCAGUGGUAGAGCGCGUGCUUAGCAUGCACGAGGUCCUGGGUUCAGUCCCCAGCACCUCCA
This 72-nucleotide transfer RNA is filed under the name Camelus bactrianus (Bactrian camel). It matches the Rfam family "tRNA". Rfam says of the family: Transfer RNA (tRNA) molecules are approximately 80 nucleotides in length. Their secondary structure includes four short double-helical elements and three loops (D, anti-codon, and T loops). Further hydrogen bonds mediate the characteristic L-shaped molecular structure. tRNAs have two regions of fundamental functional importance: the anti-codon, which is responsible for specific mRNA codon recognition, and the 3' end, to which the tRNAs corresponding amino acid is attached (by aminoacyl-tRNA synthetases). tRNAs cope with the degeneracy of the genetic code in two manners: having more than one tRNA (with a specific anti-codon) for a particular amino acid; and 'wobble' base-pairing, i.e. permitting non-standard base-pairing at the 3rd anti-codon position. The record is from Rfam by way of RNAcentral. Lineage: Eukaryota; Metazoa; Chordata; Mammalia; Artiodactyla; Camelidae. RNAcentral also lists the same sequence under 2 other names.